CCCCAUGUGCACCAUUGAACGGUUGAAGUGAGUAGCCGGGAGUUGGUACUCUUAGUUGAAAACUUCGGCUGUUAUUACAAACACCUUUCUUGUCUUGUGAAUGGUAAUGCUCUUGUGAGUGAUAAUGAAAAUACAACUUUCAACAACGGAUCUCUUGGCUCUCGCAUCGAUGAAGAACGCAGCGAAAUGCGAUAAGUAAUGUGAAUUGCAGAAUUCAGUGAAUCAUCGAAUCUUUGAACGCACCUUGCGCCCCUUGGUAUUCCGAGGGGCAUGCCUGUUUGAGUGUCAUGUUUACAUCAAAUCUCUUGUCUUUCUUCUUGAAGGACUCAAGGUAUGAAUUUGGAGGUUAUGCUGGCCUUCUCCAGUCGGCUCCUCUUAAAUGUAUUAGCUGGACUUUGGUUUGCGUUUAAGGUGUAAUAGUUCAUCCAUUCACCAGAGCGCUUGCCUGACGAGCCUGCUUCUAAUGGUCCGCAUUGUUCGGACAAGGCUUGUGCCUUUUUGACACCUCUGACCUCAAAUCAGGUAGGACUACCCGCUGAACUUAAGCAUAUCAA
RNAcentral lists this ribosomal RNA (554 nucleotides) under Phellinus sp. BRFM 1007. RNAcentral describes it as "eukaryotic LSU rRNA". The stretch from base 135 to 288 matches the Rfam family "5.8S ribosomal RNA". The record is from RNAcentral. Lineage: Eukaryota; Fungi; Basidiomycota; Agaricomycetes; Hymenochaetales; Hymenochaetaceae.